This 357-nucleotide long non-coding RNA is filed under the name Brassica napus (rape). RNAcentral describes it as "long non-coding RNA (BNAP_LNC010281)". Lineage: Eukaryota; Viridiplantae; Streptophyta; Magnoliopsida; Brassicales; Brassicaceae. The record is from RNAcentral.
ACCAGUGAUCGACACAUAAGCGAAAGUCACUUAAGUGACUUCUCAUUUAAUAUAUAGGAAGAUUAAAAUUUAGUGGCAAAACUGAAUUUGGGAGAAACCAAGGAGACCUCAAAAGUUACCGUUCAUUUUCCUAAUUCAAUCCAUCCUCCAAUUUUUUAUCGGUAUGCAAUUCAAUUUAAUUAUUGUAUUAACUAAUAUGUUUGGAAAAAUAAUGUAUAGAAGCUCAUUGGACACAAAAAUACUCAAAAGAUUCUGCAAUGGGCAAAUCUCCAAAAUAGCACAUUUCUAAGUUUAUAUCACAAAAAUAGCACUCAAAAACUAAAAUGACCAAAAUAGCACCUUUUUAAGUUUAUCCUU